Cyprinus carpio (common carp) is the source of this 768-nucleotide long non-coding RNA. RefSeq lists it as uncharacterized. The transcript has 5 exons. The record is from RefSeq and is a predicted model, not a curated record. Lineage: Eukaryota; Metazoa; Chordata; Actinopteri; Cypriniformes; Cyprinidae.
CUUUUGGAUGGCUGCAGCUUGUGGAAGACGGGACGUGCGGAAACGGAGCUCAGGAGCAACAAACACGUGGCUAGAAUGUCCCAUAACUUCAUUUUAGACUCAGUUCCUUUGAGGGAAGCUGCAACGGUGCAAAGGACAGCAAGCAGAUGCCGUGAAGCCUCGGCCCGUGAAGUACAGCGAGUAUGCGGUGUUCUUCAGCUGUGACAUUGUGAUCCCGUCGUUCCGUAGUGAAGUCCGAUCUCCUGCUCCUGCAUUUGGAUAUGAUACUGACCACCUGUGUUACCUGUGCAGGUGGAAAUUAUGUCAUCAUCCAUGUUACUAUCAUCACACAGGGGUGUGUUGAUCUGUUGGCGAGUGAAUGGCCGCGCUGUCAUGGAUCAGCCUGUGUCAGAUACUCUGGAAGUCCAAAAGCCAAGCCAAUGAAAGGCCUGUCAGCUGAUGAUGAAAGAGAGUCUCUCCUGGAAUGGAGUGAUUCAGGUGUCUGAUGUUGAUGAAGUCUGGGCACUAGUAUCUGUUGGGUUGCUGACUAUCAUGGAUGAAGAUGUACUGUACUUCUUCAAAUCUUCUUGACCCUCUGUCUUCUGCCAUCAUUGUUUAGGCCAGUAUUGCAAAGAACAGUCUCCAGAAUCUACUUCAACCAUUUGCUUCUGGACUGUCCUUCAGUACAUUUGGAUUACCUUAUUUCUGUAAAAAACACUUUCAGGUUUAUUCAAAGUGUGAUGUGUGCGGCUGUCACAGUGCCAUGCUUAAAGGGUUAGUUCACCCAAA